GUGCUCUCUUUGGCAGCACAUAUACUAAAAUUGGAACGAUACAGAGAUUAGCAUGGCCCCUGUGCAAGGAUGACAUGCAAAUCUGUGAAGCAUUCCAUAUUUAA
RNAcentral lists this small nuclear RNA (104 nucleotides) under Dasypus novemcinctus (nine-banded armadillo). The record is from RNAcentral. Lineage: Eukaryota; Metazoa; Chordata; Mammalia; Cingulata; Dasypodidae.